Long non-coding RNA from Prionailurus viverrinus (fishing cat), 278 nucleotides. RefSeq lists it as uncharacterized. The record is from RefSeq and is a predicted model, not a curated record. The transcript is spliced from 3 exons. Lineage: Eukaryota; Metazoa; Chordata; Mammalia; Carnivora; Felidae.
GUCACCCAGGCAAGAGGUCUUCCUCACCUGAAACAAGCAGAAAGGGAGUGGUUGCUGGCCCUGUUCAAAGUCCUUGAUAAUUACUUCGACUAUGCAAGUGAUCAUGGAGUACACCUGCCUCUGAGAAAGUAAACUGUCAGCUCUCUGUGGAGUCCUACCAGGGUGCCAAAGAUCUCCCAAGUGUUUAUUUUCCACUGGGCCCCACAUGUUGCACGUGAUGCCGCCUGAGGGUGGAAAAUAGCAAGGAACACAGAGGUUUACACUAAAUACCAUACUGG